GAUGAAGAACGUAGUGAAAUGCGAUAAGUAAUGCGAAUUGCAGAAUUCAGUGAGUCAUCGAAUCUUUGAACGCACAUUGCGCCCAUUAGUAUUCUAGUGGGCAUGCCUGUUCGAGCGUCAUUUCAACCCUUAAGCCUCUGUUGCUUAGCGUUGGGAGCCUACCUACCCGGUAGAUCCUCAAAGUUAGCUGGCAGGGUCGAGGUUCGCCCUAAGCGUAGUAGUUCUUUCUCGCUUCUGCGGCUGCCUAGGCCAUCGCCACAAGCCUUUUAAACUUCAAUGGUUGACCUCGGAUCAGGUAGGAAUACCCGCUGAACUUAAGCAUAUCAAUAAGCGGAGGA
Molecule: unclassified non-coding RNA, 338 nt
Filed under: soil metagenome
Description: partial contains 5.8S ribosomal RNA, internal transcribed spacer 2, and large subunit ribosomal RNA
Rfam family: 5.8S ribosomal RNA (bases 1-120)
Source: RNAcentral